GACGAACGCUGGCGGCGUGCCUAAUACAUGCAAGUCGAACGGUUUAGUUCCAAGAGUCUUGCCUUUUGGAACUAGACAGUGGCGGACGAGUGAUUAACACGUAGGCAACCUACCUGGCAAACCGUGAUAACCUCGGGAAACCUAAGCUAAACCAGGAUAAGCUCCUUGUUGGCGUGAAGGGGGAGUGAAAAGGUGGGACCGGAAUAGAGAUGUGCCUGCGGGGCAUUAGGUAGUAGGUAAGGUAACGGCUUACCUGGGAGAUGAUGCGUAUCCGACCGUCGAGGAGGCACGGCGACACUGUGACCGGCCUCAGGCGCAGACACCUACGGCCCGCAGUCGUACGGAAUCCUGGGGUAGGGGAGAAAGCCUGACCGAGCAAAGCCGCGUGAGUCAGGACGGCCUUCGGGUUGUAAACCUUUGUUGUUUGGGCAGCAGGGACAGGGUAGGACCCUUUGGUGACGGUAAUAAACGAGAAAGCCCCGGCUAACUACGUG
This 494-nucleotide ribosomal RNA is filed under the name uncultured bacterium. RNAcentral describes it as "partial 16S ribosomal RNA". It matches the Rfam family "Bacterial small subunit ribosomal RNA", at positions 28 to 507 of the family's 1533-position model. The record is from RNAcentral.